CAACAAUGCUCUGGAAGUCCAAGGGCAGGAGAAGAAGAGCAUCCCACCCUACUGCUGAAUCUUCUAGUGAGCAGGGGGCUAGUGAAGCCGACAUUGACAGUGAUAGUGGUUACUGCAGUCCCAAACACAGCAACAACCAGCCUGCAGCAGGGGCUUUGAGAAAUCCUGAUUCUGGGACCAUGAAUGUAUCAUGUGGAAUCAUCUAUGUGUGCAGGUGGUGUAAAUUGGUCCAAUGUAACUUGCCAGGCAACUCAGAAAAAACCUUGGAUGGAAAAAAAUCAGACAUUUUCUAGAGGUGGAAGGCAAACUGAACAAAGAAAUAAUUCACAGGAUGAAGAUGGGUUUCAAGAACUAAAUGAGAAUGGAAAUGCUAAGGAUGAGAAUAUUCAACAAAAACUUUCUUCUAAAGUAUUGGAUGAUUUACCUGAAAACUCACCAAUCAAUAUAGUUCAGACUCCAAUUCCUAUUACCACCUCAGUUCCCAAACGUGCAAAAAGUCAGAAGAAGAAAGCUUUAGCAGCAGCCCUUGCCACAGCUCAAGAGUAUUCAGAAAUAAGUAUGGAGCAAAAAAAAUUACAGGAAGCUUUAUCAAAAGCAGCUGGAAAAAAGAAUAAAACACCUGUGCAGCUAGAUUUAGGGGACAUGUUAGCUGCUCUGGAAAAACAACAGCAAGCAAUGAAAGCACGGCAAAUUACUAACACCAGACCUCUGUCAUAUACAGUGGUUACUGCAGCUUCUUUUCACACUAAAGACUCUACUAAUAGAAAACCUUUAACCAAAAGUCAGCCCUGUUUGACAUCCUUUAAUUCUGUGGACAUUGCUUCUUCUAAAGC
Molecule: long non-coding RNA, 833 nt
Filed under: Homo sapiens (human)
Lineage: Eukaryota; Metazoa; Chordata; Mammalia; Primates; Hominidae
Description: long non-coding RNA NONHSAT171574.1
Source: RNAcentral